ACAUAAGGCUUAAACCAUAAGGCCAGAUCUACAAUAGGUGUAGCAAGCCUUAUGCCCUAAGAAAUUGACCAAUUAUAAUCGAAUAUGAGAAGAAUAAUCGAAAUGUCUUAAGAUUGUAGUAAGCUGUCACCUUGAUAUAUCAAUAGUUAGUCAUUUUAGAUAUUAACAUCAUAUUACUUAGAUAACAGUAAUAAUGCAAUAUAGAUUUCAUAUAUAUAUAUAUAUAUAUAAAACUAUAAUUAUAUUUUGAUAUCUUUACAUAGUAAUAAAAAUUUUCGAAUAUCUUGAACUUAAAAAAUCUGCAGUAAUAAAUUUAAUUAAUUAAUCCAUGAAAUAAAAAAUCCAGUGUGAAGUACAAAGAAUGAAUAUGAAUGUUUAUGAAUAGUGUUUUUAUAUGUAUUUAUAAAUAUAAAAUUGUUAUAACAUAUAAAGUUAUACAUUAUAUAAGAGUUAAAAGCAUUUCUCUAGAUUUGUUCGUUUGCUUUUUCUUUUUCGUAGCUUUUCAAAGAGAAAAGCAAAUCCUACAUGUAAAAAAAAGUUAAAAAGAAGAGUACAAAGAAUUACACAAUAACUGCUUUAAUACAAUAAUAAUAUAAUAAUAAAAUAAUAUCAACUAUAUAAUGUAAUUAAAUAUUCUAUACAUAUACAAUCGUCGCAGUCGCAAUGUUUUUAUGUACCACAUUAUGAGUGUUCUACACUAGCAAAGAUUUUAUGUAAGUAGACGAGUCCUUUGUAUAUAAUCUAAUUAACAUGACGGAAAAUAAAGAAAGAAAAUAAGGGAGAAUAUUUUUUUAUCGUCAUAUGCUAAUUAAUUAAAAUUUCAACUAAUAGAAAUUUGUUUAUUUUAUUGUCUUUGAUAGCUUUAGUAUUUUAGCAUGUAUAUACUAUUGCAAAAUUUAAUCAUGUUUUCCUAUUAAUCAUUUUAUAAUGGAUAUCAAGAGUAAAGAAAUUAUUAAUAAAUGCAAUUUAAAUUUACACAAAUAGCUAUUUCUUAAUAAAAUUAUUAGAAUUUGAUAUGGAUUGAUAUUGAAGCAGAUACAAUCUCAGAAGACUUUGUUAUCAGUUAAAAAAUCAUACAAUUAUGUGAAAAAUAACAAGCUAUUAAUAUUAUUUAUUGAAUUAGUGCAAAAAUAGAUUUACAAUAUCAUUAAAUAAAUAGGAAAAUAAAUUAAGCAAUAAAACUUGGUAUUUGUCUUUAUAAAUACCAUUUGUUUGAAUGAUUUACACAUUAUAAGCAAAAUAAUCACAUCCUUUCUCUUAAAAAAUUCCAAAUUUCUAAUUUUAUUUAAAAUAAAGCUUAACAAAAAAAUAAAUGCGUGUUAUAUGUAAAAAAAUGUGUAUUAAUCUGAUAACAUAAACGUGUAGUUAUUUGUUUCAUAUGCGUACAAAAUGUCAAAGUUUUCAGUCAUAAAUUUACGUAUCGUACUUUAUAAAUACAUUUUAUAAAUUUCGUUAAUGGAUAUAAAAUGUUAUUGUUUAUAUGUAUUUCUUAUAAGUUAAUUGUUAUCGCAAACUUUUGAAAUGUAUCUAUUAUUCAUAAUUGUUAUCUAAAUGAAUACAUGUAAUAUUAAAAUAAAAUUAAUUUCUGAAAUUUUAA
Long non-coding RNA from Monomorium pharaonis (pharaoh ant), 1597 nucleotides. RefSeq lists it as uncharacterized. The record is from RefSeq and is a predicted model, not a curated record. The transcript has 2 exons. NCBI's taxonomy places the organism in Eukaryota, Metazoa, Arthropoda, Insecta, Hymenoptera, Formicidae.